GAUGACGUCGUAGUCGUCGCGGCUUCGCUGCUGCCAGCGCGCCAACCGAUGCUAGAGAAGAAACCUGGAACGAGGUAAGCAGAGCGCCGUGAUUGACGCGAUCAGUAGUGUACGAUGGGAGAAUGGAAAGCAGGCUACGAGCGAUGGAUAACGAUCACCAUGACGGAGAUGAUGCACGAUGAUUGGGUCUGACGUCGUUAACCCGGAACCUGGAACUAGGGAAGACUUGGAAAAAAAAUUAUGACGGAAUAAUUCAACAUACAUAAUGUGAUUGCGAUUCGUUACAUAAACUCCUGGAAUUAAAGGAUGGGUAGACAUCGAAAUUUGAAUUAUAUAGCUUCGAUUGAAAUCAAAGUUCCAGGGCAUUGAGGCGCAUAAAGCAUCGGCGAAGUUUCUUUUUCAAGACUAUGAUGCGACACAGGCCAUGCCAAAAACAUUCAGUUCUCAAGUUAGCGACAACGAGCAAAACAUAGGAGCAGGGUAAGCGAUGAGGUAAAACUGACUCGGAAAAAAUGGACAUUUAACCAUGGAUGAAAAAUGUUUGACUAUGUCUUGUGUUGUUGUCUAUGUAAGAGUAUUGAAACGAUUUGUAAGGUUAAUUCAGUUUUCGAAUUACGUUCGAAAUAUAAAUUCGUUACACUGGGUCGA
Nasonia vitripennis (jewel wasp) is the source of this 648-nucleotide long non-coding RNA. RefSeq lists it as uncharacterized. The transcript has 2 exons. The record is from RefSeq and is a predicted model, not a curated record. Lineage: Eukaryota; Metazoa; Arthropoda; Insecta; Hymenoptera; Pteromalidae.